Molecule: small RNA, 166 nt
Filed under: Mytilus galloprovincialis (Mediterranean mussel)
Lineage: Eukaryota; Metazoa; Mollusca; Bivalvia; Mytilida; Mytilidae
Source: RNAcentral
ACUUUUCAGAUGGUUUUUUGUCAAAAAUGAAAGUGGCCGCAUCCGUGUUCAUCCUCAACCUUUAUAUAUAUGUUUUGUAUUUUCAUCAAAUACAACUUACAUUUCAAUAUUAUGAAUGAACACGAAUGCGGCCACUUUCAUUUUAGACGGACACCGUCUAAAAAUU